RNAcentral lists this ribosomal RNA (612 nucleotides) under Hepatozoon canis. Its description in RNAcentral is "bacterial SSU rRNA". It matches the Rfam family "Eukaryotic small subunit ribosomal RNA", at positions 217 to 817 of the family's 1831-position model. Lineage: Eukaryota; Apicomplexa; Hepatozoidae. The record is from RNAcentral.
AAAAGCCAGUUCAUGCUUUUAUAGUAUGAAAAUUGGUGAUUUAUAAUAACUUAGCAAAUCGCAAAGUGAAAACAGGCGAUAAAUCAUUCAAGUUUCUGACCUAUCAGCUUUCGACGGUAUGGUAUUGGCUUACCGUGGCAGUGACGGUUAACGGGGGAUUAGGGUUCGAUUCCGGAGAGGGAGCCUGAGAAACGGCUACCACAUCUAAGGAAGGCAGCAGGCGCGCAAAUUACCCAAUUCUAACAGUUUGAGAGAGGUAGUAACAAGAAAUAACAAUACAAGGCAGUUAAAAUGCUUUGUAAUUGGAAUGAUAGAAAUUUAAACCCUUUUUAAAGUAUCAAUUGGAGGGCAAGUCUGGUGCCAGCAGCCGCGGUAAUUCCAGCUCCAAUAGCGUAUAUUAAAAUUGUUGCAGUUAAAAAGCUCGUAGUUGAAGUUCUGCUGAAAGUAACCGGUCUGCUUUUAAUAAAAGUGGUAUCUUGGUAUGUAUUUAGCAAUGAUGUCCUUUGAAGUGUUUUUUACUUUAUUGUAAUAAAGCAUAUUCAGGACUUUUACUUUGAGAAAAUUAGAGUGUUUCUAGCAGGCUAACGCUUUGAAUACUGCAGCAUGGAAUAA